CACGGGGGGCCCUACGGGGCGCAGCAGGCGCGAAAUCUUUACAAUGCGGGAAACCGCGAUAAGGGGACACCGAGUGCCAGCAUUUAUGUUGGCUGUCCACAUGUGUAAACGGCAUGUGUUAGCAAGGGCCGGGCAAGACCGGUGCCAGCCGCCGCGGUAACACCGGCGGCCCGAGUGGUAAUCACUUUUAUUGGGUCUAAAGGGUCCGUAGCCGGUUUGAUCAGUUCUUCGGGAAAUCUGACAGCUCAACUGUUAGGCUUCCGGGGAAUACUGUCAGACUG
This 281-nucleotide ribosomal RNA is filed under the name uncultured methanogenic archaeon. RNAcentral describes it as "partial 16S ribosomal RNA". It matches the Rfam family "Archaeal small subunit ribosomal RNA", at positions 312 to 594 of the family's 1478-position model. The record is from RNAcentral. Lineage: Archaea; Methanobacteriati; Methanobacteriota.